GACGAACGCUGGCGGCGUGCUUAACACAUGCAAGUCGAACGGAAAGGCCCUUCUUGGGCGGGGUGCGCGAGUGGCGAACGGGUGACUAACACGUGACUAACCUGCCCUUGACUUUGGGAUUACUUCAGGAAACUGGUGUUACUACCGGAUAGUAGAUUCUCCUGCUUGGAGGGGGUUGGAUCGGUUCGGUGGUUGCGGGUGCACUAGCGGGUUAUCAGCUUGUGGGGGAGGUAGUGGCUUACCAAGGCUUCGAUGGGUAGCCGGCCUGAGAGGGUGACCGGCCAAAAGAGGACUCAGAUACGGCCCAGAGUCCUGAGGGAGGCAGCAGUGGGGAAGAUUGCACGAUGGGCGGAAGCCUGGUGCAGCAACGCCGCGUGCGGGAUGACGGCCUUCGGGUUGUAAACCGCUUUCGCCUGUGGCGAUGCGUGAGUGACGGUAAUGGGUAAAGAAGCACCGGCUAACUACGUG
This 468-nucleotide ribosomal RNA is filed under the name uncultured bacterium. RNAcentral's name for it is "partial 16S ribosomal RNA". It matches the Rfam family "Bacterial small subunit ribosomal RNA", at positions 28 to 507 of the family's 1533-position model. The record is from RNAcentral.